GAAAUAUCGAGCCGUGUACUUUUGACACGACAUUAUAUAGAAAGUUUGAGAAUUUGUAUCGUAUAGGGAUGUGCCGCGGUCGGAAAUCUUUGCAAGAGAUUGGCGAUGAAAGCCGCGACGGGGAACAGGAGGUAAAAAUGAAGGACGUUUAUAUACAUGUAUUAUACUUACGCUAAGUCACUAGUAAUGUGUAGUAGAGGUUCAGAGGGCGGUGAGUUCCCCGGGGCGAUAUAUCUCAGCUUGCAAAUGUCUCGCAGAACAAGGCAGGAAUCAUACCCGCACCGGAACUAGGUCAGGGUAGCCCGCCAAAUGCGUGGAUCAGUUUUAUUUUCAAUUCGUCACCGACUAUCAUAAGAGUAAAAGUUGAGAUACACAAUAAAAUGUCAACGUUUUUUAAUUUUUUGUACAUUCAUUCAAUUGCUUUUGGUGGCGCAGACUUGACGACUCAACCUCGUAGCAGUUUAAUCACAUUAGCAAUUGGAGCAAACUGACCGUAACUCAGGUGAUCUCGAUGCAAGGAUAAGCGUCUCAAUAGGUGUCUGGUAUCAUUUAGAUGCUAAAAAAAUAUCCAAUGAGAGCCACUGCUUUGCCAUGAGUCAGUCCAGUACGCGAGCAGAGCCAACAAUAAGGACUCGCUGUGUAGUGCGAGGCCCCCGGGGUGAUUCGCCAAAAUGACCAUGACCAUAUUACGGGACAGAGGCUCCCAAUCAACCAGCAAUUACUACCAGUAACAAAAAAAAACGUCAUCAUCAAUAAGUCGAUAAAAAAUUAAGUGCUCCAUAAUAUCCAUUUGAAAGCUCGAUAGUGCGACACUUGCGAAAAAAAUUAAGUAAAUCAACUCAACGAUCGAUUGAAGAAACUCUUGCAACUAUAGUUAUGUAUAUAUGUAUAUUAACAUCGAAAAUUGAACAGAUUGAAUAAUUUAUACGCUAGAUGUUAUUGAUGGAAGGCAAUAGUAUUUCUUUUAAUUUUUUUUUUUUCCGUAUUGCCGCCUCUACUAUACUACUGUCAUUCUAUGCUAAAUGACAUAUGAAUAUAUAUGUAUAUAAUGUCAAGAGGAACCAGGAUAGAUGUAAAAAACGUUGCGAAAUAGAAUAUUCGCUGGCGGCUACAAUCUCAUUAUCGUUAAAGUUAAAAGAAAUUAUGCUCUAAUCUUGAUUCAAAAGAGCGAUAGCUUAGUCAAUUGUGUAGACGAUUGCUACAGCACUUUAAGAUCUAAUGUUACGUUAAAAAUAUUAUUUAUUGUGAAAGAGAUUCUGCUAUUAAAGACGGAUCAGGAGAAACAGAACAGAAUACAUACAGACCCGGAAAGUUCUAGGAGAAUCUCGUACUCAUAGGCUGCAAAAAAUGCGAAGCGGAUGACUGUUUAUUUAUUGAGUGAAAUUCCCUCCGAAGGGGAGUUUAUUUUGAUAUUAAAACUCCAGUCCAGAGUAAACGCGGAUUUAAAUAAAAUCCAGAUCACUCCGAAAUCAUUCAGAUAAAAAAACAAACUCCGUAUUCGGAGUGAUUUUUUAUAAGACUCCGAGUGACUGAGUGAAUUUUGAUAGAAAUAAAAUCAGUAAUUACUCCGAAUCCACUCCUAUUUUUUUACAGUGUCCACUUACUAUCAGACUGUAAGAAAGUUGCGGAAUGAACGCGGAGUAAAUAGGGAGUGAAUACGAAGCGGAUGACUAUUUAUUUAUUUAAUUUCCUCGGAGUGAAAUUCACUCUGGAGGAAGUUUACUUUAAUAUUGAAAAUCCAGAUCGGAGUGACCGCACGUUGAAGUAAAAUCCAGAUCACUCCGAAAUCAUUCAGCUGAAGAAGCAAACGCCCUAUUUACUCCAUAUUCGGAGUAAUUUUUUCUACGACUCCGAGUGAAUUCGGAUUUCAGUAAAAUCCGUAAUCACUCCGAAAUCACUCCCGAUUUUUUACAGUCUCUAUAUGUUUUAAUGAUAAAACAAAUAAAAAAAAAAAUGUACAGCACGAGAUUAAUAAUUGCCUCGGGCUAAGCAAGUACGCUGUCAGACAAACUUAAAAUCCCUUGACCCAGUAUAUAUCGUAGUCAACAUGUUCAAUACUAUAUACAUAUAAUGUACAUCACCCCA
Molecule: long non-coding RNA, 2085 nt
Organism: Microplitis mediator
Lineage: Eukaryota; Metazoa; Arthropoda; Insecta; Hymenoptera; Braconidae
Exons: 3
Source: RefSeq, a predicted model, not a curated record